GAUGAACGCUAGCGGCAGGCUUAAUACAUGCAAGUCAAGGGGCCAGCAAUGGCACCGGCGGACGGGUGAGUAACGCGUACACAACGUACCUUUAACUGGGGGAUAGCAUCUGGAAACGGGUGGUAAUACCGCAUGUGGUUGCGGGGAGGCAUCUCCUUGUAACUAAAACUUUGGUGGUUAGAGAUCGGUGUGCGUCUGAUUAGCUAGUUGGUAGGGUAGAGGCCUACCAAGGCGACGAUCAGUAGGGGGCGUGAGAGCGUGAACCCCCACACGGGUACUGAGACACGGACCCGACUCCUACGGGAGGCAGCAGUAAGGAAUAUUGGUCAAUGGAGGGAACUCUGAACCAGCCAUGCCGCGUGAAGGAAGAAGGCGCUACGCGUUGUAAACUUCUUUUGGGUGGGACGAAAAUAAUCCAUUUAUGGAUAGCUGACGGUACCAUCAGAAUAAGCACCGGCUAACUCCGUGCCAGCAGCCGCGGU
Molecule: ribosomal RNA, 482 nt
Filed under: uncultured bacterium
Lineage: Bacteria
Description: bacterial SSU rRNA
Rfam family: Bacterial small subunit ribosomal RNA
Source: RNAcentral